AUUGAACGCUGGCGGCAUGCCUUACACAUGCUAGUCGAACGGCAGCACGGGUGCUUGCACCUGGUGGCGAGUGGCGAACGGGUGAGUAAUACAUCGGAACAUGUCCUGUAGUGGGGGAUAGCCCGGCGAAAGCCGGAUUAAUACCGCAUACGAUCUACGGAUGAAAGCGGGGGACCUUCGGGCCUCGCGCUAUAGGGUUGGCCGAUGGCUGAUUAGCUAGUUGGUGGGGUAAAGGCCUACCAAGGCGACGAUCAGUAGCUGGUCUGAGAGGACGACCAGCCACACUGGGACUGAGACACGGCCCAGACUCCUACGGGAGGCAGCAGUGGGGAAUUUUGGACAAUGGGCGAAAGCCUGAUCCAGCAAUGCCGCGUGUGUGAAGAAGGCCUUCGGGUUGUAAAGCACUUUUGUCCGGAAAGAAAUCCUUGGCCCUAAUACGGUCGGGGGAUGACGGUACCGGAAGAAUAAGCACCGGCUAACUACGUG
RNAcentral lists this ribosomal RNA (486 nucleotides) under uncultured bacterium. Its description in RNAcentral is "partial 16S ribosomal RNA". It matches the Rfam family "Bacterial small subunit ribosomal RNA", at positions 30 to 507 of the family's 1533-position model. The record is from RNAcentral.